Molecule: ribosomal RNA, 467 nt
Filed under: Acanthamoeba sp.
Lineage: Eukaryota; Discosea; Longamoebia; Acanthamoebidae
Description: SSU rRNA
Rfam family: Eukaryotic small subunit ribosomal RNA
Source: RNAcentral
GGCCCAGAUCGUUUACCGUGAAAAAAUUAGAGUGUUCAAAGCAGGCAGAUCCAAUUUUCUGCCACCGAAUACAUUAGCAUGGGAUAAUGGAAUAGGACCCUGUCCUCCUAUUUUCAGUUGGUUUUGGCAGCGCGAGGACUAGGGUAAUGAUUAAUAGGGAUAGUUGGGGGCAUUAAUAUUUAAUUGUCAGAGGUGAAAUUCUUGGAUUUAUGAAAGAUUAACUUCUGCGAAAGCAUCUGCCAAGGAUGUUUUCAUUAAUCAAGGACGAAAGUUAGGGGAUCGAAGACGAUCAGAUACCGUCGUAGUCUUAACCAUAAACGAUGCCGACCAGCGAUUAGGAGACGUUGAAUACAAAACACCACCAUCGGUGCGGUCGUCCUUGGCGUCUCGGUCCUUCACGGGGCCGGGGCGCGGGGGUGGCUUAGCCCGGUGGCACCGGUGAAUGACUCCCCUAGCAGCUUGUGAGA